Molecule: transfer RNA, 73 nt
Filed under: Stegodyphus mimosarum
Lineage: Eukaryota; Metazoa; Arthropoda; Arachnida; Araneae; Eresidae
Rfam family: tRNA
About the family: Transfer RNA (tRNA) molecules are approximately 80 nucleotides in length.
Source: Rfam by way of RNAcentral
GCCUUCUUGGUGUAAUUUGAAACACGUCUGACUGGUAAUCAAGAGGUCCGGAGUUCUAAUCUCGGCGAAAGCA